CGGUUUGGACAGUCAGCCAGGUUGGGGCG
Molecule: non-coding RNA, 29 nt
Filed under: Cricetulus griseus (Chinese hamster)
Lineage: Eukaryota; Metazoa; Chordata; Mammalia; Rodentia; Cricetidae
Source: RNAcentral